UACGGGGGGAGCAAGCGUUGUUCGGAUUUACUGGGCAUAAAGGGCGCGUAGGCGGUCAGCAAAUGUCAGUUGUGAAAUCUCCGGGCUUAACUCGGAAAGGUCAACUGAUACUGUGCGACUAGAGUGCGGAAGGGGCAACUGGAAUUCUCGGUGUAGCGGUGAAAUGCGUAGAUAUCGAGAGGAACACCUGCGGCGAAGGCGGGUUGCUGGGCUGAUACUGACGCUGAGGCGCGAAAGCCAGGGGAGCGAACGGG
Molecule: ribosomal RNA, 254 nt
Filed under: uncultured bacterium
Lineage: Bacteria
Description: partial 16S ribosomal RNA
Rfam family: Bacterial small subunit ribosomal RNA
Source: RNAcentral